Non-coding RNA from Delphinapterus leucas (beluga whale), 2786 nucleotides. NCBI's taxonomy places the organism in Eukaryota, Metazoa, Chordata, Mammalia, Artiodactyla, Monodontidae. The record is from RefSeq and is a predicted model, not a curated record.
GGACCCAUGCAGCAGCUGAAGGUGUGACGAGGGAGGCCUAGAGAUCACAGACUUUUCAAAGUAGUUGCCUGGACUCAUUGCCUAAUUGCUCUGCCCAUCACAGCAGGUACACUGCUCGCCUAUGGCAUAAAUGGGGGUCUCAAGCUGGCUCAAAGAAUUUUAAGGACAGUCAAGUCCAAAAGGUAUUAAUUAGUUUGUGCGGUUCCAGAUCAGUGUCAGGAACCUGCUAGUAAUUAGCGUUGUUUAACUAAAUGUGCUGUCCUGUGAGGCUGUGACCACUCCUGUAAAAAGGCUGUUCAAUGGGGAUUACAGGGCUUGAUAAAGAUUCAAUCCCGCAAGUCGUAGGGGGCAUCUAUUCUGUGCCUGGGGCUGUGGCCACAGGUGAAUCAAACAGGCCUGACUCCUGAGCUGGCGGAUGUGGGAGCAGAAACAGGGAUUCCAGGAAGGGGCUAUGCAGGUGGUCUGUGAGGGCCCUCUUGCUUUGAUCUUUAUAGGGUGUGAUUCCACCAAGCCCACCCCAGGGGGCUGAGGGCUGUGGAUGAACCAAGGGCCUCGGGAGGAAGCCAGUUCCAUGAGCGCCCCCUCCCUAAGCAGUGUAAUAAGGCACAGCACGGAUGGCUCUACAGAAACCCGCGGUAUUCUCAGACAGAACAAACCAGCCAGACGACGCCCAGUGAUGUGUCAGAGCUCUCUGACUAUCAUGACAGACACGGCCUCUUGAGAAAAGCCCUGCAGGUGUGCCAGAGAACAGCCAGAGCAUUGGUGGUUCAGUGGUAGAAUUCUCGCCUGCCACGCGGGAGGCCCGGGUUCGAUUCCCGGCCAAUGCAGUGCUGCUUUUUGGCCUCUUCCUGGCAAGCUCCCCCAGAGAUCCUGCUGCAGGAUCCAGCUCCUCAGUCACGCCCAGCCUGCAGCAGCCAAGGGUGCUGCGAAUCUCCGAGCGCACUUCCCUGCUUCGUGAGCACGAACAGCAGCUGGCUUCUCCACAGAGGCACCACUGGCUGCGGGACCCUUCCCCCGGUAAGGGGACUCCUGCUGCACCCCCUCAGCCUUGGCCAGUCUCCAGCAGGAAGCUGUGCUGAAGCCUGUGAGCUGUAAAACAGCUCAACACACCACGUGAAUGUGGAAUGGGAGGACCCACACUUCAGAGAGGAGGAAGUCCCCAGAGUCUCAGUGGGCUUUUUGCUACUGAGAAGGAACGACUUGAACUCUACUUCCUGUCCUGACGUCUGAAGGCAAAUCAACUUCUCACGCACACACGUAACGCACACACAUACACACAUGCGCGCUUGUGCGCGCACACACACAGCCUCCUCCAGCCUUCUCUCCUGCUCUGAAGCCUAAGCCUCUGCCGUUGCAGCUGUGCUGAUGUGGCCUUCCAUUCUGUGAAUCAGUGUACAGACAAGACGACUGGGGUUAAAGGGAGGUGCUCACACAGCUGUUCACAGCUGGAGCACUGGUGGUUCAGUGGUAGAAUUCUCGCCUGCCACGCGGGAGGCCUGGGUUCGAUUCCCAGCCAAUGCAGCAGCAAACUUUUUUCUUUUAUCAUCCUAAGAGACUGGGUUUGACAUUUCACACUCCCUACAGCAUUGGUGAUACAGUCUGAAAAACCUAGAAUGACUUUUUUCUAGCCUGAGUUUUCCACGCCUGUUUCCUAACCACAGAGACCUAGAUCUUGUGUCCCCUUGUUCUUGAGGAGUCCAGGAUGUGGGGAUCACCAAAGCUGCUGCAAGCAGCUGUGCCUCCCCUCCUGCCCAGACAGGCUGCCCGGGGACUCUGACUGCGAUGCCCCUGGGGAAGCCAGGCCGUGUGUGUUUCUGCUCUGUCGGUGUUAGAGUAGCCCUGAGAGUGGGAGUAACGACAUUCAUGAGGCUCCAGCAGGGCAGCAAAGACCCAGCCCUGCCAGCAGGGCAGCCCGUCCUGGAACCACCUCCUCGCCUGUCUCCUUGUUUCAGGUCACAAAAGGUCCCUGAGCCACCGGAAAGGGCCCUCCUCCCCACUUGAGAGACAGCAAAGGGGAUGCAUUCCCUGCCCCUGAGGGGCUCUCUGCCAGAAUCCCGUGGAGGGGAAACAAGAGAGGCCUCAAGGACUUUCAUGCAAAACAGAGAAAAAAAAUCUGGUGAGGACAGUGCAAGCUCCACAGCUCCAGGCCAGAGUCCCUGAGGACAGACUGGUGCCACGAUUCUCUGCCUCUUGAGCGCCAGCCCUCUGCCCGCGUCUAGAGCUCCCCACACAGGCACAGGCAGAGAGAAAAAGCAACUACAAAGGGAAGCAGAGGAAGUGAAGUUUGAAAUCCGGGCGUCCCCAGUUCCAGGCUAGUGUCUCUUCAAAAGAACACCCCGUCUCCUCUUUCAUCUCCACGUUGUGAGCCACAGCUGGGGGAUCUCAACUAGUUCUGAAGUUAAUAUCUGGCCCAGAUCACAAGUCCCGGUGACCUUUGCUGACGUUAGGGUCACACGCAUCGCUGUUCUAUGUCCCAGAGAAGAGAUCGGCUUCUGCUUCAUUUCUCUAAAAACUCUGGCUGACGAAGUAUCCUCUAGAGAUUGCUCAGAGCCUCCAUUCUCAACUAGUCAGAGGUGUCGCAGGAUGGCAGCGACACCCAUUCCCCAGGAGGCACAACGCCCAAUGCUGGCCAACUCCAAGCUCUCUACCCUGCUCUCAACUUCACCAAGUGCCACACCGACUACCUUGUCCCUGAUUGCGAAGGAGCCACAGACAGGCCAGGAUGUGUCUUUCACCCAAGGAGAACCUGGGGCCUCGUCUCAGCAACAAAACCACAGCCCCGCACU